Long non-coding RNA from Pongo pygmaeus (Bornean orangutan), 644 nucleotides. RefSeq lists it as uncharacterized. The record is from RefSeq and is a predicted model, not a curated record. Lineage: Eukaryota; Metazoa; Chordata; Mammalia; Primates; Hominidae. The transcript is spliced from 2 exons.
ACUCACUACCAUGAGAACUGUGCCAAGGGGAUGGUGCUAAACCGUCCAUGAAAAAUCCACCCCCACGAUCCCAUUACCUCCUCCCAGGAGCCACCUCCCACGUGGGGAUUAUGACUCAACGUGACAUCUGGGCGGGGACACAGAACCAAACCACAUCACAAGCACAUUGAUGUUGGGCUUGUUGGAUGAACAUACGUGGUCACAGCUGAGUCCGCUGUUUGUAUGAGGACUGAGAACCGUUUUCCUCUGCAGUAGCCUCCUCUGCUGACUAACGACAGGGGCAGCUCCAGUGGCUCCUGUGUGCUGAGUCCCUGGCAGGUUCGAGUUUGGGCCACUCUGUGCUCUCUAGAGAUAGAGCGUGUGUGUGGCAAGUGCCCACUCACACCCAGGACCUCCUUCACCGGCAGAUAAACACCAGGCUACUAUAAAUGUGACGGAAUUUUGAACACCAGGGAAAAAGAACCAGUUACCUGGGGGUUUCUCUUUUCCUCCAGCCACAUGGAGCCAUUCUUAUCCUGAAAUCUGAGAUCCCUUCAGAUACUCCCACAGUAAAAGGAGCCAUUGUACCAACAGCUAAGAUGACCAUCGCCCGGGUAUUUAACACUUCAAUUCUUAAUAAAAGUGGUCUUCCUGUAAAUCUGAAA